GUUGAUGUAGAAUGGUGUAGAAUGGUGUUUAGGGUUGUGGCAAAAGUGUUUCUGAAUGGUAUGAGAGGUGGUGACGAAAUUGUGGCUGAAUAUAUAUAUAUAUAGGUUCCGCCAACCCUAGGGUUAAUCAGAUUAGGGUUACAACUUAGCAGAUUUUAAGGAUUAGGGCCCCAGGGUUUGGCACAAUUAAUUAAAUCCACUAAAGAAAGGGUUUGGCCCAAUUAAUUUCAGAAAAGGAUUUGUAUAACCCAAAUCCACAAGGAAUAAGGUUAACAAAAUCAAAAUCCAAGGGGAAUUGGAUGAGGAAGGGUGUGGCACUGAUUUGGAAGGAAAAUGAAUGGCUUGCAAGGCAAGGCAAAAGCCUUCUAGAAGGGAAUAGGCGCCACUUUUAUAGGGUUUCUAGAAACAAUGUGUUUUGUGGCUGAUUUGGGACUUCUAAAAGGGAAUUCUUCUAUAAAUAGCUUCUAGAAAUAGAUAUUUAGGUCCCCUUGCAGCUAGAUUUAAGGUAUGAUGAGAUUAGGAUAGGAUAAGAUAAGAUAAGGUUAGUUUGGAUAAGAUAAGGUUGGAUAAAGUUUUGGAUAAUGUUUCCUCUUUUGAGCUGAUUCCUUAUCUUCUUUGUCUUGAAUUUAAUUUCUUCAUCUUCUUAUCAGAUUCCUAGCUUUUUGAACUCCAAAUUCGUCCAUCCAUCUUGGCCCAUACAUGUGCUAUCCAUUUAGUGCCCAAAACUGCUCCAAAAUGCUCUAAAAUGCACUUUCUUGCCAACUUUGUCAUUUGGACCUACAAACACACGAAAAUAGCUUAAAACACUAAAAUAAACACAAACUAACUAUGAAAACGCAAGAAAACAAGCUAACUAAGUCGCAUAAAUAUGCUCCUAUCAAAUUCCCCCACACUUAGCUUUUGCUAGUCCUCGAGCAAAACAAAGGAAACAAAACAAACAAAACAUAACCGAAACCUUCCAACAUUCACCUCAGGGAUUUCCAAUGGAACAUGACAUGCUAAAAAUCACUACUCACGUAGAUUUUAGUUAUCCUUACCCUCGAGCACAUACUUAAUCACAGUCAUCACUCAUUAGCUCGCAUUUAAUCAAUUAAAACAAUGUUUUUGAAUGUAGUAAAAUGCCUUAGAGAAUUCCCUCAAUUAAUCACCGAAUAUACACUCUAUUUUCACACAUAUUUUCUUACUACACUCCCUAUACUAGGUAUAUGUGAGAAGAUUGAUGUAAACAUGAAAACUAACACUCACAUAUGUUAUCAUCAAAGAAAGCAAUUUCUGGAGUUAUUAACAUAAACAUGUAUAUGAUCUCAUGAAUGGAAUGCCACUACUUAGAUGCGAGAACCAGGGAUACCAUAUGCUUAUACCAAUCCUAAACUCCACAGAUUGAAACACAUAACAACCAAGAUAGAAGUUAAAGGGUUGUAACGGGGCUAAGGUAUUGGCUAACAAAGAAAGGUAAGGAUAAACAAAUGUUCUUAAAGCAAUAGUAAGCAAAGUAAUGAAAUCAACUUAAAAUACACUCUUGAAUGCAGCAAAUAACUUGAAAUACUAAGGGGAUUCGUACAACUUAGGGUCAUAUUCAAACUUUUUGGACCAUUUCUUCAACA
Molecule: long non-coding RNA, 1604 nt
Filed under: Malus domestica (apple)
Lineage: Eukaryota; Viridiplantae; Streptophyta; Magnoliopsida; Rosales; Rosaceae
Description: long non-coding RNA (MDOM_LNC018487)
Source: RNAcentral